UACGUAGGGGGCUAGCGUUGUCCGGAUUUAUUGGGCGUAAAGAGCGUGUAGGCGGCCAGGUAGGUCUGCUGUGAAAACUCGAGGCUCAACCUCGAGACGUCGGUUGAAACCAUCUGGCUAGAGUCCGGAAGAGGAGAGUGGAAUUCCCGGUGUAGCGGUGAAAUGCGCAGAUAUCGGGAAGAACACCCGUGGCGAAGGCGGCUCUCUGGGACGGUACUGACGCUGAGACGCGAAAGCGUGGGGAGCGAACAGG
Molecule: ribosomal RNA, 253 nt
Filed under: uncultured bacterium
Lineage: Bacteria
Description: partial 16S ribosomal RNA
Rfam family: Bacterial small subunit ribosomal RNA
Source: RNAcentral